This 374-nucleotide long non-coding RNA is filed under the name Bos taurus (domestic cattle). RNAcentral's name for it is "long non-coding RNA NONBTAT016543". Lineage: Eukaryota; Metazoa; Chordata; Mammalia; Artiodactyla; Bovidae. The record is from RNAcentral.
UUUUGGGGGUGGGGAAAAAGGAGAAUUUAAUUACGAUUAACGUUAGUAGGUAGGAGGUUGUCUAAUUGCCCAAGUUACAACUUUCAGCAAGAAAAUGAAAAUGUGAGUGCCAUUGAGAUUCAGGAGGACAGAGCUGCAGGUGAGAAUUUGGGGUUCAUCGAGAUAGGGCAGUGGUUAAAGUAGAUACAAUAGACUCUCCUGGAGAGGCAGAUAUGUAAAAAGUUGGAGCCAAGGCAUGGACUUAGGAAAUGCCCAUGUUCAGGUGGAAGCAUCAGGAUAGUGUGGUUUCAAGGAUGCCACAGAAUGGGAAGUGUCCAUACAUGUCUUAUAGAAAAGUGGAUGUACUUGCUACAAAAAAGAGCUAGGAGUUUGAA